AACGGCCGUACCAUGCUGAAUAUACCGGUCCUCGUUAGAUCACCGAAGUUAAGCAUCAUUGGGCGCGGUCAGUACUUGGGUGGGUGACCACCUGGGAACACUGCGUGCCGUU
RNAcentral lists this ribosomal RNA (112 nucleotides) under Caerostris darwini. Lineage: Eukaryota; Metazoa; Arthropoda; Arachnida; Araneae; Araneidae. The record is from RNAcentral.